Molecule: small nucleolar RNA, 147 nt
Organism: Crocodylus porosus (Australian saltwater crocodile)
Lineage: Eukaryota; Metazoa; Chordata; Crocodylia; Crocodylidae
Source: Ensembl
CUUCAGUGAUGAUAUGAUGACGAGUCAGAAAGGACACUCCUGUCGAAGUAUCGCUCGUUCUGUGCCACGUUCUGUGGUGCAGUGCUUGGGAUGCCUUUGCAGGUUGUCCUGUUCAUUGAAUGAUUUAGAGGCAUUUGUCUGAGAAGG